This is a long non-coding RNA of Gopherus evgoodei (Goodes thornscrub tortoise), 4997 nucleotides long. RefSeq lists it as uncharacterized. The transcript has 3 exons. NCBI's taxonomy places the organism in Eukaryota, Metazoa, Chordata, Testudines, Testudinidae. The record is from RefSeq and is a predicted model, not a curated record.
CAUAAAAUCUAAAACAGACUAUCCCGUUAAUAGUGGGAUUUAUCAAUGAUUAUGUAUGUACCCAGUUGUGAAUGUGGCCUCAUACAUAGAUGGCUUUUAAACAUACACCGCAAAAAAAUGUAUUUGAGUCAGUUAGGGAUUGUUUCUUAUUGUUAUUUUAAGAUUUGUGGAAACUAACUAACUAACUAACUAACUAACUGAAUGAAUAAAAAAAAUCCAAAGGGUAAUUAUAGAAAUUUGGCUAGAUUUUAAUGGGCAUAGAGAAUGAGCUCCAGAGGUCAAUAAACCCCUCGAAAAUGAUGAAUGAUUGAGUACCUGUGAUGAUGAUAGUGAUUACCAGAGCAAUUAAACAGUUUGAUUAAAUGAGCCAUCAUAACAAUGAUGUCUGCGGGAAAUCAGCCCUCACAUAUAAAGAAAGAUAGUGUGGAGGGCUGACAAACGCCAGUGGGCAUUCCUACGAGUUCUGAUAGUGGUGAGCCCUGCAGAGCAGACUGUAUUUACAAAUAUCAGAGCAAUAUGGAGAAAAGUCUCUCAUAUACUUUUAGCCAGACUUGCACCUUGCUUUAAAAGCGUCAGAAGGCGAAGAGCAGACCGGUUAUUUUUCCCCUAGAGGAUCUCUUCCAAGAUUAAAGAUAGCUCUAAGUGCAACCGAUAUUCUGUGACUUGACUUUCACGGGACUAUAAAGAAAGCACUGCAGCCUUGACUUCGCUGGGCCGUUUACACGCGGGAGAGAAUUUGCGCUGGGGUCGCCCUUGCAAAUACCGGGGCGGUACUUUCAUCCGCUGAAGAGCCCAGAAACCGCGGAAAAGUUAUUAAUCAGAGCAGUCUCUCCAGCCGCGUAACGCACUCCGAGCCCGGAGAGCGCUAUCUUGACCACGAGCAAACCGCUGGCUUCUCUGCUGGGUUUCACGUCGAAGUUUGGCCCGCUCCUCCUAUUGCUGUUUUGGAACAAAACUUGGUCGAGAGCUUUUCCUUGUGGUCAUCAGCGUUAUUAUUUUUCAAAAUAACCGUAAAGUGGAAUCCUGCCGCUCCUUGACUGCAGCCAGCCUGGGGACUGGUUGGUGGAUAGUGCUAUUUCACACUUUUUUCAUACUGUUCAAGCCAAAAUGUGUUGGUCCCCUCUCCACCCCUUCCUAGAAAUGUACACAACCAAAUCACCUCGGACAGAUUUCCCUUCCUCUACGUGCCAGGAUAAUAACGGAUUACAAUGAAGAGUACUCCCACCUUCCGGAAGCUAAAGGUUAAGCGGGAAGGUUCAAAAUAACACUGCCGUGGAAGGGCUAAUGCAGCUACCAAAAGCCCCUCACAAGGUGGAUGAAGAGGAACUAGAAGAAACAACAAAUAGGCUCAUCAAAUCUCAGGCUAUCACUACAUCCAUGACCAAUUUCAGGGUACCUAAGAAAGUCUAGAGAGCUGUAUUCAUUAUGAAUUGUGCUGGCAAUUGUAUGUUUUUAAAUAAAAAAAUAAUGACGGUGUCAAAGGACAUGGGUAUAGAAUGAAGUGACUUUACUCUUCAAAGCAAACAAUGAAGUUUCAUGACUAGGCAGCUCACUAUAUUCAGAGACUUUAAUUACUCAGAGCUCUUUCCCUCACAGAUAGCUGAUAAGACUCAAAGGACACAACCCAUCUCUGGUGUACUCCACUGACUUCAAUAGCGUUCCACCAGGGAUGGAUUGGCCUAAGUGUUUCUGGCAGGAUUAUGCUAAUAUAAUAAUAUUUAUAAUAAUCUGCAUGCAGAAAGCCAGGGAACGAGAGAUUUGACCUCUGCUAAUCAUGUAGAUCUGCACACUCCAAAAGAUCUGAAAAUCAUCUUGUAGGUCUCAUCUGCUAGAGGAGAAGAUGCUUUUGAAGGGAAUUGGCCUUCCAGCUGUGCUUCCCUUCAGGCAAUCCCCUCCAUAUGGUGUUACCCUUCAAUAUUUUGGGGUCCAAACCUAUAGACAAAACUCCCAUUGAUUUAAAAGAGAUUUUUGCCUGACUGAGGAAUACAGGACAGGGCUGUCUACCUGAUUCUGCAAGAGCUGAGCACCUCAUGAAAAGUGCUGAGUAUGCCUAAUUCCCAUUGACUUUAAUAGGAAUUAUGGACCUUCAACACAUAGUAGUAAGCUCCUGGCACCUCACAGGAUCAGGUCCUUAAUUAAUAUUUUAGCUAUUGUCAGUCAUCGUUUUUGUAUGACAUGUUUUCAACACCAUCUCUGGUAUUAUGAAGUGCAUGAUACAUGCUGCAGUUUAAAAUGUUUUCCACAUCUGCAGAAAUAAACAGGCUUAUUAAGUAAUGAAACAAGAUUAAACAACAGUAUACUAAUAAAUUUCUUAUAAAGCAAGUAUACACAAAUUUAUAAACCUCCUAGUAUUACGUCAUUUGCAAUUAUAACCCGUCACUAAUAGGUCUAUUGAUUAGUGGCAUAAAAAGCUCUAGUAGCAGCAGUUCUUAGGAGUAGAGAAAUAUCACAAUAAAAAAAAGCAUAAAAAGUGUUUAUCCUGUACUCUUACCUUGAGGCCAUAUUACAAUCACAAUAAGACAUAUCCAGGCAUGUGUCACACUGGAUAAUACUAUUUCUUGGGUGUUUGAGGGCACUUGGCUUUACCUUGUACUUCAUAACAGCUGAGCCAUGUCACUUAGCUGCAUGAUCCCGGCUCUAGUGGAAAAAAUCACUAAGCUACAUAUUCAUAGUUAUUUUACAUUAAAUACUCAAAAUAUUUCAUUUACAUCAUUCACACACAAUGUUAUAAUAAAUAUUUUUUCAGAAGUUUUUCUCUUGGUGGAAGAGCUGAUCAAAUUAUUUUGAAUACAUACUAGCUGGUCAAUAUAGUGCUAUUUUCUGUUCUCAAAUGCAUUAUUAUUGAUAUGUGUUAUGAUAGCACCUAGAAACCUCAAACAAGGAUUAGGGCCCCAUAAUCAAUCCUUAUUUCUAUGAAAGAAUUCAUUACUUGCAAGUAUUUAUCAAGAAUAGUUUACGCAAACAAAUUUCAGUCUAUGGGCCCUUUCUAAAAUGUUCAUUUAGACUUUUUGCAAUUCAUCAUUCUUGAUGCAUGACUGAUUACCUCAGUCACAUGGUAUUAGUUCUGCUCUCCAACUGGCUGGAUGACGUUUUUUAAACAGGAGGUUAACAGCAAAAAGCAAUAACAAAUAUUCACACCUGAUUCUGCUUCCAUUUAAGUCCAUACAAGCACAAAGGACACUCAAUCGCACCCAUUUGUGAGAUGAACAUCUGUUUGUAUGAAUGUUCGCAUAUAGUGAGUAAAAAGGGAUACAAACAUGACAAACUAAACUGCCAUUUGGAAUCUGAACACCUGUUUUCAAAUAUAGUUUUGCGGUAUGAAAUCAGCUCUAUAUUUUGUGAAGACAGUAUAAUUACAAUUCUACAACAUUAUUAUUAAGAACCAAAAGUCAUGAGUAGAAUUAUCCUAAUUUCCUUCCCCUACCUAGGUUUAACUCCAAAUUAUUCUGUGUUACAAAUGGGUCUUAUUUUUGGAGCAAGAAUAUUGUUUGUCCCAGAGGCAGAUGCUCCUUGAUCUGUUGUUUUCAGAUUUCAGCCAUUGAUAAGGCAUUGGUGCAGCCUAUAAGUUCAGGAUAACAAUUUGAUCUGAGAAUAAAUAUCUAAAGGAGUUUUUAGUGUUUGAGGGAGCCAUUCAAUUUCUUACCUAGCCCGACAUAAAUGGAAAAAUAUAUAUAUAAAGGGUUUGGUCCUGCAUUUCUUGUGCAUUAAAAAUUCCUAUUGACUUUACUGGGAGUUAUGAAUGUGGAAAAGUUGGGUCCUUAUUUUCAUGGAAACUACUACAUUUCUAUUCUAUAUUGUUAUUUUUACAGUUGUAAAACUCUGUUUUACGUCUACUACCAUUAUACAAAAAGAGGAAGAAAUGAAGUAUUUAUUGUACCCAAGAGCAAAAUAUUGUAUUAUCAGUAAGUACCACUGGUUCCAAAUCAUGGAUUUCCAAUUCAAAUGCAGAUCUGACCUGCUGUAAAGUUUGAAGGUGUUAGGAUAAAGGGUUUUAAUUCAGGCCUUUCUCCUUUACUAAAGUAAUAAAUAGAAAUUGCUGUUGUUUCAAAGAAACACGUUUGCAAAAAAUACAGAUGAGUUUGAACGUGAAGUCAGCAGGGGGAAACACAGGAAAAAUAAUUGGGUCUGAGUCUCUUCUCUGGUGUAAGCUAGGAGUAACUGUACUGAAGUUACUGGUCUUUCACGGGUGUAAAGCUGGUGUGAGGGGAGAAUCAGGCCACUUGUGUUUAAAUAGAUAGAAUUACUUUGAGUACUUUUAAGAAAACAAUCUUCAAAUAAAUACAAAACAAAACAUAUUACCUUUUUUUGCAUGCAUGCUUAUUUGUAAGUGCAAAUUAGAUUUGAAUAUUCAUGAGUCACAAAUCAUUGACAGUUUGAAAUAAUGCAAAAUGAGGUUAAGGCAUGGGACAUCAAAGAAAUGCAUCGCUAAAUCAAUAGCAAUUUGAUUGCGCAUAUACUUGUAAAUUGCCGUUACAGUUUUUGACAUAGGAGAAAAAAAUGCUAUGCAUAUGGUGACAGGGGACACAUAAAUACUCUUUUUGUAUGUGUUUAUAUUUUUGCAGUUCAGCAUGUACUUGGAUAACUACUGUGUAUAAAGUGACCAGACAUAACUUUUUUAUUUUUUCAAGACAGUUACAGUUUCUUUUACUUAUCCCAUCUCUUGUAUUGUUUUGCUUAGUAUGCUAAAAAUUCAAUUUUCAAUAUACCUGAACAGCAAUGUUGUAAAAUAAAGCUUUUACUUACUGCAGAUGGCUUCAGAAGAAGGUUCAUCUGCUAAUCAAAGUACUAUCAUAAAAUCAUGUUCAGUGGAGAUUAUCCACUUGUUUCAGGGAAUUUUGUUCUAUGAGGUGGGAGUGAGUUGCAAGUCUCAGGGCAAAUUGCUAAAGUACAGAGCUUUAAAAUAAUGACAGAUUGAAAGAUGGCCAACAUAACCAUUUAAAUCAGAGCUUUUUCAUUUUGCCCUUCUGUAAGCAUCAAUAAAGUAUUGGAUCUCUGUC